RNAcentral lists this ribosomal RNA (382 nucleotides) under uncultured bacterium. RNAcentral describes it as "bacterial SSU rRNA". It matches the Rfam family "Bacterial small subunit ribosomal RNA", at positions 28 to 409 of the family's 1533-position model. The record is from RNAcentral.
GACGAACGCUGGCGGCGUGCUUAACACAUGCAAGUCGAGCGGUAAGGCCUUUCGGGGUACACGAGCGGCGAACGGGUGAGUAACACGUGGGUGACCUGCCCUUCACUCUGGGAUAAGCCUGGGAAACUGGGUCUAAUACCGGAUACUCACUUUCCCUCGCAUGGGGGUGGGUGGUAAAGUUUUUUCGGUGGGGGAGUGGCCCGGCCGGCCUAUCAGCUUGUUGGUGGGGUGAUGGCCUACCAAGGCGACGACGGGGUAGCCGGCCUGAGAGGGCGACCGGCCACACUGGGACUGAGACACGGCCCAGACUCCUACGGGAGGCAGCAGUGGGGAAUAUUGCGCAAUGGGGCGAAGCCUGACGCAGCGACGCCGCGUGGGGGAU